GAUGAACGCUGGCGGCGUGCCUAAUACAUGCAAGUCGAGCGAACAGACCAGGAGCUUGCUCCUCUGACGUUAGCGGCGGACGGGUGAGUAACACGUGCAUAACCUACCUAUUAUACUGGGAUAACUUCGGGAAACCGGAGCUAAUACCGGAUAAUAUAUUCCACCGCCUUGUUCAAUAGUGAAAUACGGUUUUGCUGUCACUUAUAGAUGGAUCCGCGCCGCAUUAGCUAGUUGGUAAGGUAACGGCUUACCAAGGCAACGAUGCGUAGCCGACCUGAGAGGGUGAUCGGCCACACUGGAACUGAGACACGGUCCAGACUCCUACGAGAGGCAGCACCAGGCAAGAUGCCGCUACGAGCGAGAGUCUGAUCCUGCAUCAGCGUGGAAGUAAAGGAAAAGUUCGAGUUGGAUAAAGGUAUUAUAAGGCAAGAACAAAUAUAGAGGUAGGGGUUGUUAGAGUGACGGUACCAAGAAAUAAUGACACGGCUAACUUCGGU
RNAcentral lists this ribosomal RNA (497 nucleotides) under uncultured bacterium. Its description in RNAcentral is "partial 16S ribosomal RNA". It matches the Rfam family "Bacterial small subunit ribosomal RNA", at positions 28 to 507 of the family's 1533-position model. The record is from RNAcentral.